This 733-nucleotide ribosomal RNA is filed under the name Cyptotrama glabra. RNAcentral describes it as "eukaryotic LSU rRNA". It matches the Rfam family "Eukaryotic large subunit ribosomal RNA", at positions 89 to 808 of the family's 3401-position model. The record is from RNAcentral. Lineage: Eukaryota; Fungi; Basidiomycota; Agaricomycetes; Agaricales; Physalacriaceae.
GCGAGUGAAGAGGGAAAAGCUCAAAUUUAAAAUCUGGCAGUCUUUUGGCUGUCCGAGUUGUAAAUUAGAGAAGUGUUGCCCGUGUUGGACCGUGUACAAGUCUCCUGGAAUGGAGCGUCAUAGAGGGUGAGAAUCCCGUCUUUGACACGGACUACCAAUGCAUUGUGGUACACUCUCGAAGAGUCGUGUUGUUUGGGAAUGCAGCACUAAAUGGGUGGUAAAUUCCAUCUAAAGCUAAAUAUUGGCGAGAGACCGAUAGCAAACAAGUACCGUGAGGGAAAGAUGAAAAGAACUUUGGAAAGAGAGUUAAACAGUACGUGAAAUUGUUGAAAGGGAAACGCUUAAAGUCCAGUCGCGUUAGUUGGAAAUCAGUCUUGCUUUUGCUUGAUGUACUUUCUAAUUGACGGGUCAACAUCAGUUUUGACCGUUGGAUAAAGGUUGAAGGAAUGUGGCAUCUUCGGAUGUGUUAUAGCCUUCAGUUGUAUACAACGGUUGGGACUGAGGAACUCAGCACGCCGUAAGGCAGGGUCUUGUACCACUUUCGUGCUUAGGAUGUUGGCAUAAUGGCUUUAAUCGACCCGUCUUGAAACACGGACCAAGGAGUCUAACAUGCUCGCGAGUAUUUGGGUGGAAAACCCAAGUGCGCAAUGAAAGUGAAAGUUGAGAACUCGUUAGAGUGCAUCGACGCCCAUGCCAGAUGUUUUACUGACGGACAUGCGGUAGAGCGAGUACG